AGCCGCAAACGACGAUAGCAUUGCCAGAACUGGCUAGACUAUGAACUCAGCUUGUUUUGCUGGCGAUCGCUGUUUUCUGUGGCUCCGAAUUCGCAAAGUUAUAAAACGCGAAUUCUUGCCACUUUUUACUUCCGAUAUUAUAAAAUUUUGUGCAACAAAUGUGGUGAGGCUCUGCAUAAGCAGGAGAGUCCAUUUUUUAACGAAAGAAGUUCCCUUGGUAGUUGGCGUGAAACGUAAUUUAUGACAUCGGCGCCAUUUCUGGUACAGACACGAAUGUGGCUCUACUAACAGGAGCCUGGCCGUUCUUGCAAAAUAACCCACGGAAAGUCUUUCUGGGGGUAGGGAACCGCCCCCACAUCACCCUCGCGCUCGUAUGGGGCGCCCUUUGAUAAGAAUGCAGUAGGAAGCGCGUGACAGAAUUGAUAGAACUGAAGCACGUGACGGCCUUCUUUUAAACUUCAAUUUAUGUUAGGAAAGCCUGGCGACUUUAUUGUUACGCUUCUGGGCACUCAAGAGAAUUGUGAAGAAAAGCACGGCUCAUCAGUAAAAUCCUUGCAUAGGUACUCUCACCGUCAUUCUCCGGUGCUGGGCAAGGGGUGAUUGCUGUGGCUACGCACUUCGGCUACAACUGCAUCUACGGCAAGUAGGCGUUUUCUUGGAGCGCAGGAGUUUGUUGAACACCCUGUUACUGCGGCCGGAUCUACAGGCUGACUACCAAAUUUACGGAAGGCUGCCCGGCAGUGGUUACUCUGCCAGUUAUGACGGACAUUGACGUGGACGUGCUAUGUCUGAACUUAUCUCAGUUACCAGUAGAGGAACUACGAAUGCUAGAAUUCACCAAAAUCCUUCCGGACUUGCGGCUCGCUGGUGUCGCGCAACGUGAUGCCGUUGCAGCGAUCCGUGGAAGUUUGCAGGACAUCAACACGCUGGGAAAACGGCUUAACGACGUGGCAUGGAUUUACUGCUGGCUCAUUCCGCGCGACAGGCUGCAUUCUUGGGUGCUCUAUCGCUUCAGCGGGCCCACAGCGGAUGCCAGGGAUUUCACGCUGCACAAGAAGAUAGCGAACGCGUUCUGUUGGCCCGGCAUGAGCAACGCAUUUCAAUCUUUGUCUUACCAUGCUGGGCGCUACGUCUGCUUAAUGACCAGAGAGCCCGAAAGCGGGGUGGAAGAACACUGUGUCAUAUGCUUGUGUGCCUGGGUCGACAUACCUUACGUGGCCGUACGUGUCGCUGGAGUUCAAGAUAUUCCAAAACUGCGGUCUGUACUUAAAGUCCUAUUGCAAGGCGAGCUCUACCAACUUAUCACUGGCUGUCACCAAGAGCUCAGCACCGCUUGGGCUUGCGCUGUCCGUGACUUCAACUUGCGCCGUGCAACGUCACAAGCGAACUACAUGAUCCCGACGACACCUGGGCGACGUCUCUAGUGUAGUGGUGACUAUAUUAGACUACACUCUGGCAAAAUCAAGCCACGAGAACAAAGAAAAAUACGGGCGGAGAAGCCUGUUUUGCUGCACAUGAAUUGUGACAAUAUUUUGUACAAAAUAUUCAAACUGCGCCUCUACAUUGAACGUGAUGCUAACCGAAUAUCGUACGUCUGCCAACACUCCAGAAGGAGCCGGUUCCAGAAACUCCUUAGCGUCAGCAACAACUUCCUCUGAUCGACUGUCAGGAAAGAAUGCCUACAAAUAACCUUUUUAUUUUUUGACGAGUGCUUCCCUUACGUGCUCAGACUAUCUGUAGACACCUUGUCACACGAUAUGCAGCUGAAUAAAGAUGACCUGUGCGUCCAUCA
Molecule: long non-coding RNA, 1792 nt
Organism: Dermacentor andersoni
Lineage: Eukaryota; Metazoa; Arthropoda; Arachnida; Ixodida; Ixodidae
Source: RefSeq, a predicted model, not a curated record